AAAAACAGCCAGUUUGUGUGCUUGGUAAGUAGAAAGGAACUGGUGCUAGCCAGGCCCUUUUUCCCUUGGGUGAGAGACUUUCUCAUCCAGACAAUGUGGAUGUGUUGCACAUAAUGACUUACUCACUGAGUGUAUCAUAACCUGAAGGAGACUGUGCCAUAUGUACAGAAAUCCAAAACAAGCCAUUUCAGGCAUAAAUUCAGCUUAAAAUAGGUUUCAUUUCUACAUGUAGACUCACAGAAUCCUGCGACUUUGGAAUGUUUUCUAUCAACCACCAACCAUGUGAUUAGACAGAAACAGAUUUUUGACAGUAUGACAUCCUUUAAUCUUAGAGAUCGAUUUGUCAAGCAAAGAUUAUUUGUUGGUAGCCUCUCAAAUUUGACACUUCCGUGCACUUCUCGUCCACGUUUUACAGCAUCCAAAAUAAAUGAGAAAUGCUGAAGCUGGCACUGCAACAGAAUCCAACUCCAAGUGUAUAAAACUGUGAAUAUGUGAGAAAAGACUGUGUGUGAGGAAAUGCAUUCAGCUGAAAUCCUGCUGGAGAUCCAAUGAGCCACAAUAACAGUGUUACAAGGCCAAUUGCUAUGGCAACCAUCAAGCUCUACCAUUUGUCAACAGGGUGGUGAUGAUAUCAGAGCUUGACGUCUCUGUGCCACCCUCUCAAUCACACCCGAUCUUUACUUAGAAGCACCGCCGUGGCCCCUUGUACGCCAGAAUCAGAUCAUUUUGGAAGGUGGGCUAACAUAUUCCAAAAGGCCUGAAAAGGGUUGCCUAGGGGUUAAUGCUUGGGUUUUGGGGUUAGAAUUCAUCUUAGAUUAGAUUUGGAUGUGUAGUUGUCAUGGUUGAGGUCAG
Long non-coding RNA from Thalassophryne amazonica, 852 nucleotides. RefSeq lists it as uncharacterized. The record is from RefSeq and is a predicted model, not a curated record. Lineage: Eukaryota; Metazoa; Chordata; Actinopteri; Batrachoidiformes; Batrachoididae. The transcript has 2 exons.